CUGUACAAUGAACUAAUGUCAUCCAUAUGAAACAUGAGGGAGUGGUGACUGCGCUGAUUUCACAAUAUACUGUAAUAAACAGUUCUUCAGGUGUUUAUCAGGAGUUUAUCGGGUGGUUUUAUCGGGUGUUUAUCGGGUGUUUAUCGGGAGUUUAUCAGGUGUUUAUCAGGAGUUUAUCAGGUGUUUAUCAGGAGUUUAUCAGGAGUUUAUCAGGAGUUUAUCAGGUGUUUAUCAGGAGUUUAUCAGGAGUUUAUCAGGAGUUUAUCAGGUGUUUAUCAGGUGUUUUAUCAGGAGUUUAUCAGGAGUUUAUCAGGUGUUUAUCAGGAGUUA
Molecule: long non-coding RNA, 330 nt
Organism: Ictalurus punctatus (channel catfish)
Lineage: Eukaryota; Metazoa; Chordata; Actinopteri; Siluriformes; Ictaluridae
Source: Ensembl